This 76-nucleotide transfer RNA is filed under the name Fibrobacteria bacterium. RNAcentral's name for it is "tRNA-Gly". It matches the Rfam family "tRNA". From Rfam's summary of the family: Transfer RNA (tRNA) molecules are approximately 80 nucleotides in length. Their secondary structure includes four short double-helical elements and three loops (D, anti-codon, and T loops). Further hydrogen bonds mediate the characteristic L-shaped molecular structure. tRNAs have two regions of fundamental functional importance: the anti-codon, which is responsible for specific mRNA codon recognition, and the 3' end, to which the tRNAs corresponding amino acid is attached (by aminoacyl-tRNA synthetases). tRNAs cope with the degeneracy of the genetic code in two manners: having more than one tRNA (with a specific anti-codon) for a particular amino acid; and 'wobble' base-pairing, i.e. permitting non-standard base-pairing at the 3rd anti-codon position. The record is from RNAcentral. Lineage: Bacteria; Pseudomonadati; Fibrobacterota; Fibrobacteria.
GCGGGUUUAGCUCAGUUGGUAGAGCAUCUCGUUGCCAACGAGAAGGUCGUGAGUCCGAGUCUCAUAACCCGCUCCA